This 378-nucleotide unclassified non-coding RNA is filed under the name uncultured Chlamydiales bacterium. Its description in RNAcentral is "contains 16S-23S intergenic spacer region". The record is from RNAcentral. Lineage: Bacteria; Pseudomonadati; Chlamydiota; Chlamydiia; Chlamydiales.
UCCUAGUUAACCUAGGCAGUCUUGCCAGAGUCCCCGCCAUUACGCGUUGGCAACUGACAAUAAGGGUUGCGCUCGUUGCGGGACUUAACCCAACACCUCACGGCACGAGCUGACGACAGCCAUGCAGCACCUAUAUAGAACCCCUUUCGGGAAGCAACAUUUCUGUUGUUGUGCUCUACAUUUCGAGCCUGGGUAAGGUUCUUCGCGUAGCAUCGAAUUAAACCACAUGCUCCACUGCUUGUGCGGGCCCCCGUCAAUUCUUUUGAGUUUCACCCUUGCGAGCGUACUCCUCAGGCGGCAUACUUAACGCGUUCGCUCCGAUACGGACAGGGUUGAGCCCGCCCACAUCUAGUAUGCAUCGUUUAAGGCUAGGACUAC